This 270-nucleotide ribosomal RNA is filed under the name Triticum aestivum (bread wheat). RNAcentral's name for it is "partial small subunit ribosomal RNA". Lineage: Eukaryota; Viridiplantae; Streptophyta; Magnoliopsida; Poales; Poaceae. The record is from RNAcentral.
AUGGAGGUGCACUGCAGCAGCAACAUGGAGGAGAACAAGCAGCAUAGCUGGAAGAAGAUUUCAAGUGCAAAGCAGUACAAGGACGGCUGGCCGCCGGGCAAUGAGACGCCGGAGAAAGGAGUAAGCCAGGGGCGGAGGAGAGAACUGAGGCGGUCAGCAUCGUUGCCGGUGCGGGUGGCGAGCGCGGCGAGGGAGCAGCGGGCGAGGCUCUACAUCAUGCGUCGCUGCGUCUCCAUCCUCGUCUCCUCCUGCUGGAAGAACUACCCAUAA